UCUCUGUCUUUAACUCAUCUUAUCCUAUUACGACUUGUCUGGCGCAGUUCAAGUCCUCGUCUUGAACAAGCCUCCACAUUUGCAGCAGCUCCUGCGGAACGAGUUUGUGCACCACGAUGAGGCUGCGAAAGAAGCACGGCUCCCGGUUCAGAGGAGUCACUUUACGCUUAAUGAUCCCAAAUGUCCGGAAGCCCAGAUGCAGCUCGGGGACGAUCUUCAGCUUCUGAAGGCACAUGCCCAGAAACACAUCAUCAAUGGGGUAAAGCUCCACGCUCUCAGAAACCACAAAGAGCUUGCGGGCCACCAGAGAAGACAUGAGAAAUCCUCCUCCACCCAAAUAAGGUGGAUAGCGUUUAUCAUACAACUCUUUGGGAAUAAAAUAUUUACUCUGGCGGUUUCUGAUCGGUUUGGCUUCUAGAAUAGUGUCUCCUACAAUGAGGUUUUCCACCCUGUUCUCCUCCACCCGAAAGCCAAUUAGUUCCACCAGGUUCUUGGUCUGGACAAAAACGUCAUCGUCCCCUUUGAAGACGAAGGGUACUCCACUGCAGUAGAUGCUGAACCAUCUCAGAAAGUUCACCUCCUUUAAGGUCUGCCUCACGGCUUCUCGCCGGUCAUGCUCUUCGAUAACCGAUUUGACCACGACCAGAACAUCCACGUCACCGCUGCACUUCUCCGGGUGAUUCAGCAACAUUGGGUAGUAUCUGCAAUGUCUGUGCAGGACAAAUUCGUGAAAUCUUGGGCUCAAACGACGAAACCAGGCUUGGGUCUUCAUCGUCGAAUUUUCACUACACUGAAUUUUAUCCACGUCCCAUUUUCUUGGCAUGGGUUUUCCCACCGGCGCCAAGCCGUUAAUGUUGGAUGAGUUUUCAAUUGUCUUUCUGCUUUUACAUGUGGGGCCACACCAUUUGCGUUUCUCGUCGACUUUGAUAUCGUUGAAAUUCGUGUCCACUGUUAUCAACUUCUGAAGCAUCAGUAAAGUGGCAAAAACCAAAGUUAGGCUGACCGCAGUCCUUAAAUUAUUUUUCUUUCGAAAGAAAAACUCCAUUACGCACACGCUCCUCAGAGAGCAGUCCAUUCGGGCGGCCAGUGGCUUUCUCAUGACAGGUCAGCAAGGUCCGCU
Long non-coding RNA from Cyprinus carpio carpio, 1120 nucleotides. The record is from Ensembl. Lineage: Eukaryota; Metazoa; Chordata; Actinopteri; Cypriniformes; Cyprinidae.